GCUGGAAGCCUCACUGGGAGACUGAGGCUUUUAAAGCCAAGUCCGCGCAGUGCUCAAGGAAUCGACUAAGUGAGAAAGGUGGUGAAGGAUCUGGUCCCUCACGCCAUACAGGAGGCUCCAGAACUCAUCGAGAACAUGCAAAAAUACUGGCUAAAGAACUAGGAAGACCACCACAUCCACAUGAGCUUCUGAGACGACACACAUCAAAGCGAACAAGGAGUUUGUGGACCAGAAAUCUAGGAGCACAUAUGAUGCCAUAAUGUCUAAAAUUCUGUCUGUGUCUCAACCUGAAGAUACGUCCAGUGAGCCUCCUGAAGUUGAUUUCUUACAAAUUUAUUUGGACGAAGUCGGUGUUAAGAAGACACGCAUUUAUGGUCUUGGUUCUCAAGCUCCUUUCUAUGGGCAUGUUGGUGCAUCCUCCAGUUCGAAAUCUCCGCUUCAAGAUCUAGACUUUAAUGCUCGGGUGAAUGAAUGUGUCAGAUAUCGUUUGCAAGAAAUUAAAGAAGAGAUGAAGCAUGAGAUGAGAUCAGAGAUCAGAGAAGAGAUUAGACAAGAAAUGAGAGAAGAAAUGCGCGAAGAAAUGAGACACUAAAUGCAACAAGAGGUGCGCGAGCAAGUUGAUCAACUACUCCAAAACCGUCUGUCGGUCCUCAUAGGUGGCUUACCUACACCGCCUACUCGUAGACAUGACUCGUCGUCGAAUAAUGACGCGAGUAAUAUUUAGAUUUAUUUUAGCUUCUUUUAUGUUAGACAUGUUUCGGAUUCCGCUUUCAACUUCAUGACAUAUAUUAUUAUUAUUU
Nicotiana attenuata is the source of this 800-nucleotide long non-coding RNA. RefSeq lists it as uncharacterized. The transcript is spliced from 3 exons. Lineage: Eukaryota; Viridiplantae; Streptophyta; Magnoliopsida; Solanales; Solanaceae. The record is from RefSeq and is a predicted model, not a curated record.